Molecule: ribosomal RNA, 253 nt
Filed under: uncultured bacterium
Lineage: Bacteria
Description: partial 16S ribosomal RNA
Rfam family: Bacterial small subunit ribosomal RNA
Source: RNAcentral
UACGGGGGGGGCAAGCGUUGUUCGGAAUUACUGGGCGUAAAGGGCUCGUAGGCGGCCAACUAAGUCAGACGUGAAAUCCCCAGGCUCAACCUGGGAACUGCGUCUGAUACUGGAUGGCUUGAAUCCGGGAGAGGGAUGCAGAAUUCCAGGUGUAGCGGUGAAAUGCGUAGAUAUCGGGAGGAACACCAGUGGCGAAGGCGGCUUCCUGGACCUGAUCUGACACUGAGGAGCGAAAGCGUGGGGAGCGAUCCGG